UUAUUUACUACGGAUAAUACUGUUUUUAUAAUCAAGGCAAACUGGUAAAAUUCCUUAUAUAUGAACAAAUAUUCCUUGUAAAACUUCUCCUACUGCUUCAUAAACUUCCUCUGUAUCUUCGAAUUCUCCGGCACUGUUAUCCAAUAUGUCUGUGAAUUGUAACAUAUCUUUGUUUUAAUAUAAAUAAAAUGAGAGUCACAGAUACUA
Long non-coding RNA from Melitaea cinxia (Glanville fritillary), 207 nucleotides. RefSeq lists it as uncharacterized. The transcript is spliced from 2 exons. Lineage: Eukaryota; Metazoa; Arthropoda; Insecta; Lepidoptera; Nymphalidae. The record is from RefSeq and is a predicted model, not a curated record.